CCUACGGGCGGCAGCAGUGGGGAAUAUUGGGCAAUGGGCGCAAGCCUGACCCAGCAACGCCGCGUGAAGGAAGAAGGCUUUCGGGUUGUAAACUUCUUUUCUCAGGGACGAAGCAAGUGACGGUACCUGAGGAAUAAGCCACGGCUAACUACGUGCCAGCACCCGCGGUAAUACGGAGGUGGCAAGCGUUAUCCGGAUUUACUGGGUGUAAAGGGCGUGUAGGCGGGAUUGCAAGUCAGAUGUGAAAACCACGGGCUCAACCUGUGGCCUGCAUUUGAAACUGUAGUUCUUGAGUACUGGAGAGGCAGACGGAAUUCCGGGUGUAGCGGUGAAAUGCGUAGAUAUUAGGAGGAACACCAGUGGCGAAGGCGGUCUGCUGCACAGCAACUGACGCUGAGGCGCGAAAGCGUGGGAGCAAACAGGAUUAGAUACCCUGGUAGUC
This 442-nucleotide ribosomal RNA is filed under the name uncultured bacterium. RNAcentral describes it as "partial 16S ribosomal RNA". It matches the Rfam family "Bacterial small subunit ribosomal RNA", at positions 338 to 795 of the family's 1533-position model. The record is from RNAcentral.